RNAcentral lists this ribosomal RNA (497 nucleotides) under uncultured bacterium. RNAcentral describes it as "partial 16S ribosomal RNA". It matches the Rfam family "Bacterial small subunit ribosomal RNA", at positions 28 to 507 of the family's 1533-position model. The record is from RNAcentral.
GAUGAACGCUGGCGGCGUGCCUAAUACAUGCAAGUCGAGCGAACAGACGAGGAGCUUGCUCCUCUGACGUUAGCGGCGGACGGGUGAGUAACACGUGGAUAACCUACCUAUAAGACUGGGAUAACUUCGGGAAACCGGAGCUAAUACCGGAUAAUAUAUUGAACCGCAUGGUUCAAUAGUGAAAGACGGUUUUGCUGUCACUUAUAGAUGGAUCCGCGCCGCAUUAGCUAGUUGGUAAGGUAACGGCUUACCAAGGCAACGAUGCGUAGCCGACCUGAGAGGGGGAUCGGCCACACUGGAACUGAGCCACGGCCCAGACUCCUACGGGAGGCAGCAGUAGGGAAUCUUCGGCAAUGGGCGAAAGCCUGACGGAGCAACGCCGCGUGAGUGAUGAAGGUCUUCGGAUCGUAAAACUCUGUUAUUAGGGAAGAACAAAUGUGUAAGUAACUAUGCACGUCUUGACGGUACCUAAUCAGAAAGCCACGGCUAACUACGUG